AAUUAAUGAAACAAAUCCAUCCAACGAACAACAAUGUUGCGCAGUAAAUUUGAAUAAUAUUCUAUUUCACUAAACGAAAAAGCAAAAUUUAGAAAAAUUACACUUUUACUGUCCUCGCAUUGCUGUGUCACAUUUUACGGCAUUGAUCGCAGGACUAAUAUAGAGUCCUAUAAAAAUAACAUCAUCUACACUCAACGCUAUACCAAUAAUCCAACCUGCACGCCAUCGCUCCAGAAAAGUCGCGCAAUAUCUUGUGACAACUGACAUCUAGUGCAUUAUUUCACGAACGAAACCCAUUAUCCUCUGCCCUGUACUAUUUUAUGUCGAACUUAUUUGGCUAAAAGCCACUCAAUUUUUCGAUAAAGUACAACAUGUAGGCUAUUUAUUAGUCUUUUUAAUAGUAGCCGCCUAUUUAAAAAAAUAAGUUCGUAAACUUCGGUCAGAACGGAGUACGGUAGGUUAUUGGGGAUUCCUGCCGUUUAGGCGGGUUCGAGUGGUGCGAGUUUUGGGUUUAGUCGUUUUAGAGCAAGCCUUCCCCUAGCCUCACUGUAAUUCUCCUCCAACGAAAUACCCGUAAACUAAAGAAAACAUCGAGCAUCACGAUUCAGACAAAGAUGUCUCUCGUGUGUUACAACUGCCAGGCGGAGAUUGACCAGAAUAGUAAAAAUCGUCAGAGUUUCCUCAGCCGAACGAACACUUUUAGCACGUCGGGAGAGUCGGAAGAGCCAUCUUUCAGCGACAACGGUGAAGGAACUGAUCUCGUCACCAAGAUUCCAGAGGUAGUCAUCAACACCAAUGGUAAGGGAUGUGGAGUUUCCUCAAUGGAGUUUCCCCGGAAAAUGGGAGAAAGCCACAACAGUCCCGCAUCUGAAAUUUGGCGAAAGUUCGUCCAGACCACCACAGGUCAUGGUUUCGCCAGAAUGGUCGACACCAACGAACAUUGGCAUUUGAGAGCCUUUUGGAUGAUAGUUGUCGUCCUGCUGGGCGCUGGACUGUUGACCUCCGUCUCUAUGAUCAGCUACGAAUCUUUAGUGGUGCGAGGAUUGCAACGCGAGUUUAUCGUUCAAUAUAACAACACCAUGAACCUUCCCGACAUCCACAUAUGCGAUACAUCCCUCUUCAGUCUUUCGGCACUCGAAUCCAUGGGCUUCAACAAGACCAUGGGUAGCUAUUUGGCGUUGACACUCUCCCCAAUGUUGGCUUCCCGUUCGCUGAGAAAAGACAAAAAGAAACGACAGCAACUGGAAAGCCUUUACCGUCGCUUAAUGGCCAACAAAACAAUUCACGAAGUCUACGAGAAAGCUACCCUCAAGUAUGAAAAGCCUUGAUAUCGGUGCAGAGAGUGAAAAAUUAAUUAUGUCAAGCCAAACAUUUUCAGAUGCGAAAAUAUCAUCCUGGGAUGCACUCAUGAUGUAACCUCUUACAACAGCGUUCAGUGUUGCCACAAAAUCUUUGGCAACCGAAUCUACGUCACCGACUUGGCUACGAUGUGCGUCUCCACCGCUAAGCAGCAGCCGCUGGAAGAGAUAUUUGCGUCGCAAGUUUACGGACUGACAGUUUAUCUCAAGACGAAUACUCGCGAUCGAUUCGGUAAUACACCCAGUUACCUAGGGAACGUCCUAAAAAUAAAAGACGCGACAAAUGUCUUUGUUGUACAUUUUCUCCGCCUGCUGAUGUAUUGUCUCUCUAUCCCUUGUCGAGAACACAGAGUUCGAUUCGACUAUCGUAAAUAGCAACGUUGCAUCCCGACGUGGCCUACUUUAUGCCGUGUCCGAUCCGAUUACGGCCGUCAAUCCCAUUAUUUCAGCAGCCGGUCACUAUAUGGCACCAGGUGAACCGGAACAAACUUAAGCGAUUUUCUACGUGACCUAUAUAUAUAUAAAUAAUAACGGAUGAAUCUAUUUGUCUCAAACUGUCUUACAGGAAAGUGGGCGGGUGUUUCCAUCUCGUUCACUCGGGUACGCUAUAGCACACUGAUGAUCAAAAAUUUCUUUGAAAAUUUGACAAAUCGUAUCUAUUUUUCUACAUUGUGUCGGGGAAUUUAUAUAGACAGAUAACUCGGAAUUGCAAACGGGAAUCUUAUCCCCUUACUCUUGCGUACCAUCUGGAGCCACUAGUCAUGCACACUUGGUGCCCGCCUAUGACGUCUACAGCGAGAGGAAUUGCAUUUUCGCCUCGGCUCGAAUUGUGUUGGAAAGGAAAUUCAACUGCACCAUUUUCCGUUUUCGUAGAACCCAUCACCACCACGGUAAGGCAUAGGCUAUACAAAAGGAGACAAUAAGCGUAAUGAACGACGACGACAUUCACUGACUGAUGCAAUUUAGAUACACCCUGUUGCGAUCCUGAUAUUAUGAUUGGAGCCUAUUCAGUUGCCCUGGCUCAGAAAAUUAAGAAGCAAUCAGCUGGUAAGAAAAAUAUAUGCUCUUGAUGGUAAAUGCCGCUAGUGCAAUUCACAAGACAGUUGAUGGGUACUUCUCGCGGUAAUUUGAGAACGACCCGGGAAAAUUUUAAAUGUCAGCAAAAUUUUAGAAGUUUCUAUACGAUUUCAGGUUGCCCGAUUGACUGCGUCGUGAACGAUUACCAUUUGUAUUCAACGCCAUCGCAGCUCUAUUUGGGCGAUCAGGACGAAUUUUUCGAAGGAGAAAAGCACGGAGACGAAAUUGUGCACAGUGCUAUUCAUUUCUUCUACCCGUCUUUCAGUUACACGGUGAUCAAGAAUCAUCCCCAACGUCUUCUCAAAUGGCUCGGUGACGUAGGCAGCAAUAUGAGUCUCUAUUUGGGGGCCAGUUUUGUAACUCUGUUGGAAUUUAUCGUUCUCAUCUUGCGCUGCGCUAAAAGGUGGGCGACGCAAAUUCAAUAGUAGCUAGCUUUGACACUUCGUGUCGUCAUAACAUGUACUGUAGUCAACAAAAUGAAUCCGCAAAAGCAGUCGCAUUUUAACAAGCGAGCGAUUCACGCGUAGCCUAAUGCUUUUUACUUGAUUGAAUUAAACAGACUCCAUCCCCACACGCGAUCUCUCCAACAUUAAAUAUGAUUAAACAAUUCUCUAGUUCUAAAAAUAAUUCUAUUUCUGACUUUGAAACAAUUUUUUGAUUUAAAAAGGAUGACGACGAUCGAUUCCCCGCAAGAGCGCCACGAUUCUAUAAAAGUAGAGAGAAAGAAGUGUCAUAGAAACUUGGGAUAGCAGCCGUUCCCACUCUACUCUUUUCUUCUUUUAAAAUACAGCGCUUCUAUUAGGAGACUAUAUAUAACUCCAGCACGAGCCUGUCGAAAACUAACCCCAUAUUUACGAACAGCGCGGGCAAGAACUCUUACGAACAAUACGCAUUUGUAGCAAUUCAAGUAGAAGAUGGAGUGGAGUGCGUUUCGCGAUCGAACCUCAAUCACUCUUACUUCAACAGGGCUCCAAAGUAUCGGAUAGCGAUGGUUAGCACACAGGGCCAGACUAUUCCUGGAAGGGAUUAAAACGAGAUAAGGGAGAAAAAUAUAUCUUGACGGUGCCCCCAAGACUCUUUGGCGUUACACAAAAGACUAUUAAUUCCCAUUAGUUGGUCAUUUCUUGUGACCCUACGAUGUGUAGUACUAACGUGAAAUCUGCGGUGCUAAUUCCGUUUCUGAAUAAAAAAUUUCAAAAAGUUACUCAUUCCGAGUUGUUGUUAUUGAUCAAACUGGCGCAGAAAAGCUGUUAACAUGAGUUACACAUUCAUGUGGCCAGCAGAUGUAGCAAAAGGUUGGCAUUAGCAAGUUGUUAGACGAGGUGGUGUGGCAGGUCCCUCUUGGUCAUAAAAAUUUUCUAGUUGAAAUUACUUUAGUGUACAAAGUUUAAGUAUU
This 3831-nucleotide unclassified non-coding RNA is filed under the name Daphnia pulicaria. RNAcentral describes it as "uncharacterized LOC124311381, transcript variant X1". Lineage: Eukaryota; Metazoa; Arthropoda; Branchiopoda; Diplostraca; Daphniidae. The record is from RNAcentral.